AUGGAUGAUAGAGCCUCAACCAGACCUAAACGUCGGACCCACCCCCCACAUCAUUAUGAUGAGUACGAAAUGGGUUUUGUGCUACCACAAAGACAGUUAUCUGAACCAAGAAUCAGUAGGCAUGGGCAAGAAGAGGAGUUGUGUUCACAAGAAAAAGGAGCUGCCAAGAGGACACCCCCCACUUUUAGUCGUCGUCAGUCACUAAGGGAUGAUGACUGUACAGAGGAACAGCACAUUGCAGUGAGUCAAUACAGCCAAAGACCAGUUUCUGAAUUCCAGUUAGCCCAUCAGUACACAGAGAGAGCACAGGCUGAAAAAAGCAGAUUAUCCACUCCAAGCAGUUGGUCUUCAGUACAGUACAAUUCACCUCCAGCCUCCCAGAAAGAUCUUCUGCAAAGUAGAGAUGAGCACCUGAACGCCACAUUAGCUGAAAUCAGAGAGACCAGAUCUGAGUUAAGAUUACUAGCAGAAACGGUGCGCAGCCUAAAGCAGAUUCCUCAACCAGCUACAGGGAGCUCUCAGUCGAAUACAUUGGAUCCACGUAAGUCUGAUCAAUUACCCACACUCCCUUUAGACCAUGGGUUUAUGCCUCCGCCCUGUGAAGAGCUGAUCACUAAUGUACAGGUUGAUGAGUAUGAUGAGGCAGACUGGCCUGAUCCCCCUCCAUGGCCAGAGACAGGAGACCCACAACCUCAGCCUGCCAGUAGUGAGCCCAUUGUCGACUUUGUGGACAAGAUGAUGAGUGAGCUUCAAGUUCUAAAACAAGCAGCUGUUAGUAAGAGUAAGCCUCUUGUUGCACAUACACAAAGCCCUCCUAUCGUUAAACAUGGUACACUGACAGCAAAGACAAGCAGGAUGCUUCAAGGCCAUUUGAGUCAACCACAAGGCUUCCAUCCUCAGCCACCUAUUCGAGACAUUCCAGCAUAUAACUCAGAACAGUACAAGAGUUACCUUCAAGGUGAGCCUGCAGCGAUCUCACAGCCAUACCUGCCAAUGAGGGCCCACACGAGAACUGUAAUCGAUCCUCGACACCAGAUUCCUCUACAUUCUGAGCCGAUAUACCGAGGUCCGAUGCCGUCAAUUCCCUACUUCUGUCGCAGAGACCCCAGUGAGUUUGCUAGGAUGAAAAUAGCUUUAGAGAAUCGACUACCCCCAGAUGGGACGGAGCUCUUUAAAUACCAAAUCCUGGUGGAUCACUUGAAGUUGGAAGAGGCAAGGUUGAUAGCAGAUUCAUAUCUGAACUCCCCCAGACCUUACACUGAUACCAUGGCGGCUCUUAAUCUAAAGUUUGGCCAGCCUCAUCAGAUGGCUCUGAAUAAAAUAGCCAGUGUUAUGGACUCGCCUGAUAUUCGACGCGGUGAUCAAGCUGCCUUCGAGAAGUUCGCCCUACAGGUCCAAGCACUUGUGGGCAUGCUUAAAUCCCUUGGUCCCCCAGGAGAGAUAGAGCUACAGUGCGGAUCUCACGUAGCACGCUUGCUGAGCAAGUUACCGACAGAGAUGAGAGCUGAGUUCAGGCGCAGCAAGUUCCAUUAUCCAGGAACAACCUAUACUCUCACUGAUCUCUCUGAGUGGCUGCAAUAUGAGUCGUGGUGCCAGGAAUAUGACGGUUCAUCAACAGUGAAGAUCACUAAGGAGAGACAAUGGCCUAGACAGGAGCCUCGGCAGAAGAGGUGGACCACUACUGUGCUACAUGGAUCUAGAGAGGCGAUGGAGAGAGACGUUUCACCCACACAAGUGAAUCCAUCCACUAAGAACAGAACUGCACCUUACUGUCCAUUCUGUAACAAUGCAGAGCACUUCUUAAACCAAUGCACAGAGGUUGUAAAAACUGACCACAGACCAGUUAUCAGAAUGGAUCCGUACCAAUAG
Long non-coding RNA from Cyprinus carpio carpio, 1869 nucleotides. The record is from Ensembl. NCBI's taxonomy places the organism in Eukaryota, Metazoa, Chordata, Actinopteri, Cypriniformes, Cyprinidae.